RNAcentral lists this ribosomal RNA (233 nucleotides) under uncultured bacterium. RNAcentral describes it as "partial 16S ribosomal RNA". It matches the Rfam family "Bacterial small subunit ribosomal RNA", at positions 524 to 752 of the family's 1533-position model. The record is from RNAcentral.
UACGUAGGGGGCAAGCGUUGUCCGGAUUUAGUUGGGCGUAAAGAGCUCGUAGGCGGUUUGGGUAAGUCUGGUGUGAAAUCUCCACGCUCAACGUGGAGGGGCCACCCGAUACUGCCAUGACUGGAGUCCGGUAGAGGAGUGUGGAAUUCCCGGUGUAGCGGUGAAUGCGCAGGAUAAUCGGGAGGAACACCCGUAGCGAAGGCGGCACUCUGGGCCGGAACUGACGCUGAGGA